UACGGAGGAUGCGAGCGAUAUCCGGAUUUAUUGGGUUUAAAGGGUGCGUAGGCGGAUUUUUAAGUCAGCGGUAAAAUGUCCGGGCUCAACCCGGGCCGGCCGUUGAAACUGGGGAUCUUGAGUGGGCGAGAAGUAUGCGGAAUGCGUGGUGUAGCGGUGAAAUGCAUAGAUAUCACGCAGAACUCCGAUUGCGAAGGCAGCAUACCGGCGCCCGACUGACGCUGAGGCACGAAAGCGUGGGGAUCGAACAGG
This 252-nucleotide ribosomal RNA is filed under the name uncultured bacterium. Its description in RNAcentral is "partial 16S ribosomal RNA". It matches the Rfam family "Bacterial small subunit ribosomal RNA", at positions 524 to 776 of the family's 1533-position model. The record is from RNAcentral.